GUUAAUAUAGUUUAAUAAAAACAUUAGGUUGUGGACCUAAAAAUAGAAGUUUGACCCUUCUUAUUUA
Molecule: transfer RNA, 67 nt
Filed under: Sphenomorphus melanopogon
Lineage: Eukaryota; Metazoa; Chordata; Lepidosauria; Squamata; Scincidae
Description: tRNA-His
Rfam family: tRNA
About the family: Transfer RNA (tRNA) molecules are approximately 80 nucleotides in length. Their secondary structure includes four short double-helical elements and three loops (D, anti-codon, and T loops). Further hydrogen bonds mediate the characteristic L-shaped molecular structure. tRNAs have two regions of fundamental functional importance: the anti-codon, which is responsible for specific mRNA codon recognition, and the 3' end, to which the tRNAs corresponding amino acid is attached (by aminoacyl-tRNA synthetases). tRNAs cope with the degeneracy of the genetic code in two manners: having more than one tRNA (with a specific anti-codon) for a particular amino acid; and 'wobble' base-pairing, i.e. permitting non-standard base-pairing at the 3rd anti-codon position.
Source: RNAcentral